CCUACGGGAGGCAGCAGUGGGGAAUUUUGGACAAUGGGGGCAACCCUGAUCCAGCAAUGCCGCGUGAGUGAAGAAGGCCUUCGGGUUGUAAAGCUCUUUUGUCAGGGAAGAAACGGUGAAGGCUAAUAUCCUUUGCUAAUGACGGUACCUGAAGAAUAAGCACCGGCUAACUACGUGCCAGCAGCCGCGGUAAUACGUAGGGUGCAAGCGUUAAUCGGAAUUACUGGGCGUAAAGCGUGCGCAGGCGGUUAUGUAAGUCAGAUGUGAAAUCCCCGGGCUCAACCUGGGAACUGCAUUUGAGACUGCAUGGCUAGAGUGUGUCAGAGGGGGGUAGAAUUCCACGUGUAGCAGUGAAAUGCGUAGAUAUGUGGAGGAAUACCGAUGGCGAAGGCAGCCCCCUGGGAUAACACUGACGCUCAUGCACGAAAGCUGGGGAGCAAACAGGAUUAGAUACCCUGGUAGUCCACGCCCUAAACGAUGUCUACUAGUUGUCGGGACUUAAUUGUCUUGGUAACGCAGCUAACGCGUGAAGUAGACCGCCUGGGGAAGUACGGUGCGAAAGNUUAAAACUUCAAAGGAAUUGACCGGNNGAGAGNGCGAGGACGACGACGAGGGAGAGG
RNAcentral lists this ribosomal RNA (620 nucleotides) under uncultured bacterium. RNAcentral describes it as "bacterial SSU rRNA". It matches the Rfam family "Bacterial small subunit ribosomal RNA", at positions 338 to 956 of the family's 1533-position model. The record is from RNAcentral.